GAAGAAAGAGGGAGGCGUGCUUAACACAUGCAAGUCGAACGAAGAGCGAUGGAAGCUUGCUUCUAUCAAUCUUAGUGGCGAACGGGUGAGUAACGCGUAAUCAACCUGCCCUUCAGAGGGGGACAACAGUUGGAAACGACUGCUAAUACCGCAUACGAUCUAAUCUCGGCAUCGAGGAUAGAUGAAAGGUGGCCUCUACAUGUAAGCUAUCACUGAAGGAGGGGAUUGCGUCUGAUUAGCUAGUUGGAGGGGUAACGGCCCACCAAGGCGAUGAUCAGUAGCCGGUCUGAGAGGAUGAACGGCCACAUUGGGACUGAGACACGGCCCAGACUCCUACGGGAGGCAGCAGUGGGGAAUCUUCCGCAAUGGACGAAAGUCUGACGGAGCAACGCCGCGUGAGUGAUGACGGCCUUCGGGUUGUAAAGCUCUGUUAAUCGGGACGAAAGGCCUUCUUGCGAAUAGGGAGAAGGAUUGACGGUACCGGAAUAGAAAGCCACGGCUAACUACGUG
Molecule: ribosomal RNA, 510 nt
Filed under: uncultured bacterium
Lineage: Bacteria
Description: partial 16S ribosomal RNA
Rfam family: Bacterial small subunit ribosomal RNA
Source: RNAcentral